RNAcentral lists this ribosomal RNA (433 nucleotides) under uncultured bacterium. RNAcentral's name for it is "bacterial SSU rRNA". It matches the Rfam family "Bacterial small subunit ribosomal RNA", at positions 29 to 459 of the family's 1533-position model. The record is from RNAcentral.
AUUGAACGCUGGCGGAAUGCUUUACACAUGCAAGUCGAGCGGCAGCGCGGGGGCAACCCUGGCGGCGAGCGGCGAACGGGUGAGUAACAUAUCGGAACGUACCCCGUCGUGGGGGAUAACACAGCGAAAGCUGUGCUAAUACCGCAUACGACCUGAGGGUGAAAGCGGGGGAUCGCAAGACCUCGCGCGAUGGGAGCGGCCGAUAUCGGAUUAGCUUGUUGGUGAGGUAAAGGCUCACCAAGGCGACGAUCCGUAGCUGGUCUGAGAGGACGACCAGCCACACUGGAACUGAGACACGGUCCAGACUCCUACGGGAGGCAGCAGUGGGGAGUUUUGGACAAUGGGGGGCAACCCUGAUCCAGCCAUUCCGCGUGAGUGAAGAAGGCCUUCGGGUUGUUAAAGGACUCUUUCUAGCAGGAACGAAACGGUAGGG